GUCCUGGUGGACUCUGUUAGAUCUACCAGGAUACAGCAAUAUUAUGGGUGGAUUAAGAGUUGCUGUGAUCGACAGAUUGAGGCCUUGGUGGCUAUAAGUCUCCGGUAACUGAAAGUUACAAAGGGCAAGGCUGCCCACAUGUGUUUAUUUGAAUAUAUAUGAUACACCACUGUUCCUACAUCAGACUUUAAGAAUAAUUGUCCCAAUUCAGUUUCAGUUCUGAGCUUCAAAAGGAGUG
Molecule: long non-coding RNA, 238 nt
Filed under: Bos taurus (domestic cattle)
Lineage: Eukaryota; Metazoa; Chordata; Mammalia; Artiodactyla; Bovidae
Description: long non-coding RNA NONBTAT019196
Source: RNAcentral